AUAUUGCACUAAAGGGGGAUGGCAAGGAAUACUAUGUUGAUAUUAAGGAAUUUGACAUGCUUUAUGAGGAAUUUGGAGGGUUUGAUGGGCUAUAUGUGAAAAUGCUUGCCCAGGGUAUUCCUACUGUGGUUCAGUUGAUGUGGAUCCCUUUUUCAGAAUUGAAUUUGCAUCAACAGUUUCUCUUGACAUUGAGGCUGGCUCGCCAAUGCAUAAAUGGAAUAUGGAAGACUAGAAUUGUUUCGUUUGGAAGAGAUUGGGUGUUAGAGAAAAUUAGAAACAUAAAUGAUGAUAUAAUGAUGAUGAUUGUGUUUCCUAUAAUUCAUCAUUCCUUUUCCAGUGAGGUUACGGUUGGGGAUGGCGUGGCCGGAGGAAAUAGGGCAGAGUGUUGGCUCAACAUGGUACUUGAAAUGGCAAUCUGAGGCGGA
Molecule: unclassified non-coding RNA, 425 nt
Filed under: Hevea brasiliensis (rubber tree)
Lineage: Eukaryota; Viridiplantae; Streptophyta; Magnoliopsida; Malpighiales; Euphorbiaceae
Source: RNAcentral